Molecule: ribosomal RNA, 468 nt
Filed under: uncultured bacterium
Lineage: Bacteria
Description: partial 16S ribosomal RNA
Rfam family: Bacterial small subunit ribosomal RNA
Source: RNAcentral
GACGAACGCUGGCGGCGUGCUUAACACAUGCAAGUCGAACGGAAAGGCCCUGCUUUUGUGGGGUGCUCGAGUGGCGAACGGGUGAGUAACACGUGAGUAACCUGCCCUUGACUUUGGGAUAACUUCAGGAAACUGGGGCUAAUACCGGAUAGGAGCUCCUGCUGCAUGGUGGGGGUUGGAACGUUUCGGCGGGUGGGGAUGGACUCGCGGCUUAUCAGCUUGUUGGUGGGGUAGUGGCUUACCAAGGCUUUGACGGGUAGCCGGCCUGAGAGGGUGACCGGCCACCUGGGGACUGAGAUACGGCCCAGACUCCUACGGGAGGCAGCAGUGGGGAAUAUUGCACAAUGGUCGGAAGCCUGAUGCAGCAACGCCGCGUGCGGGAUGACGGCCUUCGGGUUGUAAACCGCUUUCGCCUGUGACGAAGCGUGAGUGACGGUAAUGGGUAAAGAAGCACCGGCUAACUACGUG